GACAGAGGUGCCGAGCGUUAGGCGGAAUCACUGGGCUUAAAGCGUGUGUAGGCGGGCGGGCAAGUACCUUGUGAAAUCCCACGGCUCAACCGUGGAACGGCUGGGUAUACUGCCUGUCUUGAGCCAACUAGGGGCGAGCGGAACAGACGGUGGAGCGGUGAAAUGCGUAGAUAUCGUCUGGAACGCCAAAGGUGAAAACAGGUUGCUGGGGUUGUGCCGACGCUGAGACACGAAAGCCAGGGGAGCAAACGGG
This 253-nucleotide ribosomal RNA is filed under the name uncultured bacterium. RNAcentral's name for it is "partial 16S ribosomal RNA". It matches the Rfam family "Bacterial small subunit ribosomal RNA", at positions 524 to 776 of the family's 1533-position model. The record is from RNAcentral.